GUCCCUGUAGCACAAUGGACAGCGCGUUGGACUUCUAAUCCAAAGGUCGUGGGUUUGAAUCCCACCUGGGAUG
This 73-nucleotide transfer RNA is filed under the name Trichonephila clavata. It matches the Rfam family "tRNA". From Rfam's summary of the family: Transfer RNA (tRNA) molecules are approximately 80 nucleotides in length. Their secondary structure includes four short double-helical elements and three loops (D, anti-codon, and T loops). Further hydrogen bonds mediate the characteristic L-shaped molecular structure. tRNAs have two regions of fundamental functional importance: the anti-codon, which is responsible for specific mRNA codon recognition, and the 3' end, to which the tRNAs corresponding amino acid is attached (by aminoacyl-tRNA synthetases). tRNAs cope with the degeneracy of the genetic code in two manners: having more than one tRNA (with a specific anti-codon) for a particular amino acid; and 'wobble' base-pairing, i.e. permitting non-standard base-pairing at the 3rd anti-codon position. Lineage: Eukaryota; Metazoa; Arthropoda; Arachnida; Araneae; Nephilidae. The record is from Rfam by way of RNAcentral.